RNAcentral lists this transfer RNA (71 nucleotides) under Bos taurus (domestic cattle). It matches the Rfam family "tRNA". Rfam says of the family: Transfer RNA (tRNA) molecules are approximately 80 nucleotides in length. Lineage: Eukaryota; Metazoa; Chordata; Mammalia; Artiodactyla; Bovidae. RNAcentral also lists the same sequence under 5 other names. The record is from Rfam by way of RNAcentral.
ACCCCAGUGACUUAGCAGUAAAGAACCUGCUUGCAAUGCAGGAGACCUAGGUUUGAUUCCUGGCUCUGGAA